UGAUGAUACUUUCUGCUUCACAUGACCCUCAGGAAUUGGUUGCUGAAUUACAGAUUCAACAGCAACAACCAUAGCUUGCACAAAAUCAUCACCUCCAGUUCCAAUCGCUGUAAACCCUCUAACUGUUGGGUAUGAGUUUACCUUCUGAUCCAAAGCAAGCCAUUCGUUAGUGGAAUCAUCCGUUACUGUACCUCCAAUAACCACAUUAGUCGUCUGCCCAACCCUCCCUUCCGACUUCGACACCUCUGAAAUAGCUUUGAGAACAGCUUCUUGUGGAGGCUCUUGGUCCUGUUCAUCCUCGGAAGCUGGAGAGGUAUUAUCACCACUAGAAGCAGAGCAAUUGAGGUGACUUGGUCUCGCGCAGUGGAAAUCGCGAGCCCUAAUGCGUCUCCUACAAAAUCCGCAGCUCGAUUUAAGGCUUGAAAAUCCAGAGGCAGCGGUUCUCGAAGGAAGCGAAUAGAGAGAUCGAUUUUGGUAGUGCAGAGGUCUCCAAGGCUCUGUUAUGAACACAGAGCAACGCACAAGGGUCCGGC
RNAcentral lists this unclassified non-coding RNA (533 nucleotides) under Hevea brasiliensis (rubber tree). Lineage: Eukaryota; Viridiplantae; Streptophyta; Magnoliopsida; Malpighiales; Euphorbiaceae. The record is from RNAcentral.